Molecule: long non-coding RNA, 8557 nt
Filed under: Nicotiana tabacum (common tobacco)
Lineage: Eukaryota; Viridiplantae; Streptophyta; Magnoliopsida; Solanales; Solanaceae
Description: long non-coding RNA (NTAB_LNC010588)
Source: RNAcentral
AACACACACCUGCCCGUUUCCUUCCAAUUCAAUUUUCUCUCCCUCAUCUCUCUUAUAAAACAGAACACACAAAAGAAAAAUAGGGGGGAUCAGCCAAGAAACCCCAUUGAAACCAGCUGAAAAACAUAUCAAAAUUCAGCCACUAAACAGCCCCAAAAUCACUCCGAAAAUAGCCUGAAAUCACCCCCUAAAAUAGUCCAAAAGGCAUAAAAAAUAAUCCAAAAAAUGAGCUGAAAACCUCCACCAAACAGCUCCAAAAACAGUCUCAAAACACCCCAGAAAUACCCUUGUUUCCGUCGUAAUUAUACCAUCUCCAACCAGCUCCUUUUCCUCUAACAAACAACUACAACACCAUCUUGAAACUAGUCCCAAAGCCAGCUAACUCAUUUCUGUUUCCAAAACGACACCACAGGUUCCUAAAAUACGACACGAAGACAUACAUGUCGCAACUGAGGUUCCUUCGGCUUCAGUCGCUCGUGGUUUGCUAUUAAGGUACAAUGAAAGCAUUGUUGUUGUGCUCAUUUUCAACUGCUGUAGAUCUUAUUUAGCGAAUAAACAUUGAAGGUCCAUUUCUUGACCUUACUUUCUAUUUUUGUUUUAUGUUGGAGAUAUAAAAAAUUAUGUUUCGUUCAUAUUAUUUUUUUUAGACAAACUAUUAAUGCAUCUUGAUUUUUCUUGAGUGCAUUGACUGUUGGAUACUUUGUUAUUCUUCAUUUCUUUGCCUACUGUGUUAGCAUUGAACUUGCUUCAGUAGUUUCCUUUUUUCUUAAGAGCUUUAUUGGUAGUUUGGACCUGGGUUUAAUUGAUAAUGGGCUGGAUUACAAAAUGGACUAUUAGCUCAGAUAUUUGGGCCAUGGGGUGGUAAGAACUUGGUUAUUUAGAGUUUAAAUGGGGCAUAGAUAUAGGUAAGAACCGUGUGGUAUAAGACUUGAGCCAUGUGAAAAUAAAAUGAAGAGAAUGUCAAUUUUGUUAGAUCAAAUGACUUAGUAAUAGAUGUAAAAAUCAUUUCGAUAACUCCACAUCAAUAAACUAUUGUCCUUACAAUAAUCUCUAGUUUAGAAAAUAAUUCUUAUAAACACUCGUAGUUUGCUUUUAGGCACGUUAAUAAUAAAACAUAGUGACUAUGGGUACGAUUCCCGCGACAUAGUCAUGAUACAUAAUCCUCAAUUCGAUUGCGUAUUUCAUGCGACUUGACCAUAACUUCAAAUAAUAAAAAAAAAACAUGUUGUAAAUUGCGGGUGCGUUUCACGUGGCGCGAUUCGCAAUGUGUACAAAAACAACGAGUGUGUGACAUCGCGACUUGUUCAGAUAAUUUCAUAUUUUAAUAAUUAAAAGCGGAUAGAUAAAACAUAAAAACCAAUAAAUCACAGUUUAUCCAAAAUUAAUUCAAGCCAAGUUGUAGUCAAUAAAGCGACCGUGCUAGAACAACGGGACUCAGGGAAUGCCUUACACCUUCUCCUCGGUCAACAGAAUUUCUUACCCGGACUUUAUUUUCGCAAACCAAUAAUAAAAGAGUCAAAUCUUUCUUUGAAUAGGGAUUCAAAUAAAAGGUGACUUGGAACACCCAAAAAUCAAAUUCCAAGUGGCGACUCUGAAUAAUAAAAUAAUCCCUACUUUAAAAUAUCACUUUAAUUGGAAAAACUCUUUAACCCACAACAAUCCAUAAUAUCUUUCUUUUGGGGGUAAAACGGGGUGUGACACUCAUAACCAUACUAACAAUCAUGAUAAUAAUUGAAAGCAUUAAAAUACAGAUUAAGGAAGAACAGAAGAGAAAACUCUGUGAUUCGUUGCUUCCAAGUGUUCUGUAGCCUUUUGCCUCUCCAAUAGUGUCCUUCCCCUCUAAAAACUAAGUUUAGGAAGUAUUUAUAAGGUAGGGUUGAGGUUUACACGUCCAAAAAUUGUGAGAAAAUAAAAGUAGCUCGGAUAGCAUCGUCUAUAGCGUCAAUGUUUUUGCACGAGGCAAUGUCUAUGGAGCCAAUAUUUCUGCGCAAGGCACUGUCUGACCAAUGACAGUGCCCUGGACAAUGCCCUGCACUGUCUAUGGCCAUUACUUUUCACUGCCUUGCACGUCUUCUUUUAUUGCUCCAUUUUGUAGCUCUGAUAUACCAUUUCGUUCAACUUUUCUCCAAUUCAUGUCCAAGCAUUCCUACACGUGAAAUAAGCUCUAUUAAGCACAAUUGUCGCACAAAUUAACAUCCAAACAAUAAGUAAGUAGGGUAAAUAACAUCAAAAUAUAUAGAAUUAUAGCACGACAUCAACACCCCACACUUAAAUGUUGCUCACCCUCGAGUCAACCAACAAAAUACUUCCUCUUCAAGGACCCAACAAGCCACACAUUUACAACACACUACAUCUAUGACCAUGGUUGAUAGCAACAAUUAAGCUUUAGCAUAUGCUGUCAAAAUACACUUCUUGUACUUAUGCCCAAUUUUAAAACAUUUAACACAGGAACAACAUGAUUAUAACAAUCCUAGCCUCGAAAACUAACUCAAUGUCACAAUGCACCCGAGGCUGGAAUACUUAAUCUAAUAGAGAGGUCUAAUAAUAUUACCUAUCCUUUGUGAAACCAUGUACCCUCACAAUAAAACAAAGAGUAAGCAGUCCACAUAUCCAAAUCACAUGAUCAAAUAUAUUUUAAGGACUCACACAUAUGAAGAAAAUCACUCACUCUCUCAAAGAAAUCACAUGCACGCAAAAGGUACUAUAGGCUUGCCCAUUAUGUAAACCUCUACUAAUGUAGGUUCGCUCAGUUCAAAAUCAACUAGGAUUUAUUAAGGUUGUAAUGUGGGCUAAGGGACGGGUAGGAUAUAUUUAGGAUAUAGUGGCUAACCCUCCUAAGCACUUUAUCACAUCACGUAUUCAACUUUAAGCGCAAAAUUCCUUCAAUCAUCACAAGAUAGCUCACCCCAUAAUAUUUUUCCUUCUUCUUUACGCACUGCUUCAGAUCACAUCUAGCAAAAAUAAGAAACCUUUAUUUAUUUAUUUAUUCUUUUUUUCUCUUUUUCUUUAUUUUCUUUUUGUAUUUUUUCCUUACCGCUAGUGGAGUUUUAUUAAAAUACAAGUGCACAUUUCUUCCUUCUAUUGGUUCCACUCAAAAUCUACCCCAAGUUUCCUCAUUACUUCUUUCUAGUGCUCUCUUUACAAUUCAAGUGCUUUAAGAGGUAUAAGGAUCAAAAUAGUUCGAUUAAGAAAAAAAGGGGAUAGGCUUUGUAACGACCCGGCCGAUCGUUUUGAGAGUAGUAGCCCCGAACUCCUAUUUAUUUCUUCCCUUAUUUCAUGUUGAGAUUACAUAACUUGCCGGUAGGAUUUGUUUUUGGUUACGGAGUGUAAUGGGACACAUAGUCCUUAAAAUAGAAGUUUAAGUCGUAGGAAUCGACUGUGGUUUGAAUUAUGUGAAGACGACUCCAGAAUGGAGUUUCGAUGGUUCCAAUAGCUUCGUAGGGUGAUUUUGGUCUUAGGAGCAUGUUCGGAUAUGGAAUUGGAGGUUCGUAGGUCAUUUUAGCGCCAAUUGGCGAAAGUUGGAAAAUUGGAUAAUUUUUGAAAAGUUUGACUGGGAGUGGACUUUUUGAUAUCGGGGUCAGAUUCUGAUUUUGGAAGUUGGAGUAGGUCUGUAAUGUCAAUUAUUACUUGUGUGCAAAAUUUAAGAUCAAUUGGACUUGAUUUGAUAGGUUUAGGCGUCGGAGGUAGAAGGUUGAAGUUUUAAAGUUCAUUAGGGUUAAAUCGAUGUGCAAUUCAUAUUUUUAGCGUUGUUUGAUAUGAUCUAAAUGAUCUACUAAGUUCGUAUGAUGGUUUAGGACUGGUUGGUAUUUUUGGUUGAGGUCCCGGGGGCCUCGGGUGGAUUCCGGGUGGUUAACGGACAAAAAUUGGACUUGGAGCAUAGCUGAGCUUUGUUGUGUCUAGUGUAAUCGCGCCAGCGCAUUUUGGGCCAAAGGUGUGGCACCACAGAAGCGGCCAUCGAGCAGCAGAAGCAUAAUUGGGACUGCAGCUGAGACCGCAGAUGCGGUCGUGCCCCCGCAGAAGCGAGCAAAGGCAACCUAGAAGCGGAAUUUGGCAAGGGAGUUGGGACCGCAGAAGCAGUUUGGAGGCUCGCAUAUGCGGAGUGAGGUGACGCAGGAGCGAAAGAAGCCGCAGAUGUGGGUCAAUGGUUACUUCUGCGACGCCGCAUAAGCGGUUAAGUUUUUGCAUAAGCGAAAAGCCUGGGCAGACUAUAUUAAACCAAGGGUUCGUGAUUUUAUCAUUAUUGAACAUUUUGAGCACGGGUCUUGGCGAUCUUUGAGAGCAUUUUCGAGUGAUUUCUUGAGGUAAGUCUGUUGUGUAAAUUUUUUAUUAAUAAUCUUGUUUCCCCAUUAAUUUUUCCACCAAGUUAGUGUAUAUUUAAGGUGGAAUUUGGGAGUCGAGGCUAGGUGUCACGACCCAAAAUCCAUAAUAGGUCGUGAUGGAGCCUAACACCGUUGUCAAGCAAGCCAACCAUAAUUAAUUAACUUCAUUACUCCUUUUAAUAUUUGAAAUCAUGAUUUUCUUUAAUUUAAUAAUAAAAGAAGAACUUUACGGAGUAAAUAAAAAUAAUUUCAUAAUUUCAAUACCAAACAACUCAUAAUCACCUCAAAACCCGGUGUCACAAGUGAAUAAGCAUCAACUAGGAAAUAUAAUAAAAAUGCAGCAUCUGUCCGGAAUACAAAUUAGACAGGAGAAACAUAAAUAACUCUUAUGGAGACUCUGCAGGUUGCGGAUCGUAACAUGAAAUCCAGCUCACAGUAAAUUCCCACAAUAUCCGCGCCUCUGCGCCCAAAAGACCACUGGGUAUAUAUGCACCUGCACAAAAUAUGCAGCAAGUGUAGUAUGAGUACGUAAAUCAACGCGUACCCAGUAAGUAUCUAGCCUAACCCCGGAGGAGUAGUGAUGAGGGGUCGACAUCGAAUCGACACUUACUAGAGGUCCAGUUAAAUAAAUAAUACGAUAAUUCAUACAAUUGUAAAGUACACAUCAAUAGGGGAGAAAUCCGAAGUUUCAUAGCGUUCCAAUUAUUUUCUUUUUAUCAAAAAUUUAUCGAUCAUGUAUCCUACCUCAAUAUCUCAGAAUAAAUUCCAAGUGUCAAUACCAAUCAGAUAAGAAAUACCAUAAAAUACCAGGCGUCAGUGAAAAGUUUAUCUCGUGAAUAUUCGGACUACUAGCGGUAUAACGCACGAUUCUGUCGAGGUCAUUCGGCCCUAUCCGGAGUAGUGUGUACACUGCCGAGGGUCGAACGGCACGAACUAGAGAUGCACCUUUAUAUACUGCCGAGGCGUUCGGCCCGCUCCACAAGAAAGGAAGGAAUUUAUCUCAUUCCAAGAGAUAUUGCCGAGGCGUUCGGCCUGCUCCACAAGAAAGGAAGGAAGUUUCUGAAUCACAAGAUACGCGCUUACAAUAAAGUACAUGAGCACAAUAAUAAGUACAUCUCUUUACAUUUAUCGAAUACCUUAGCAACAUCUCGGGGUAUUAAAGCUUGACCUGAUACUUUUAUUUCUAAAUCAAUUUCAGUUAUAACUUUAAUUAAAUAAGCCAGCAGAACAAGUUCAAAUAAUUUAAUUAUUACAGGAUAAGGUCCUAAGUCAACCCGGACAUAGACAUGCUUUAGCUACGAACGGACUCUCAUCACCUCGUACGUACGUAGCGCCCACAACUAGUUGUGCAUAAUAAUAAGUAUCACCUAGGGGUGGUUUCCCCCUUACAGGGUUAGAUAGGAGACUUACCUCGCUCCGAAGUUCCAUAACCGGCUCCAAAGCCCUCUAACACCUCAAACCGAUGCUCGUCGCUCCAAAACUAGUCAAUCAAUGUUCAAACAAAUAAAACUAUACUCUAAUACUCAUAACAAAUCAAUUUAGACAAAUUUCUAACUCCGCUCAAAAAGCCGAUAAAGCAACCCUCAGGCCCUCGUGCCCGGAUUCCAAAUUUUUUUGAAGAUAAACAUUACCCAUAACAUUACGAACUCAAAUAUAUGAUUUAUUCUCAAUUCCAUGCCCAAAUUCGUGGUCAAAAUCCAAAAAUACCAAUUUCUAGGUUUUCUACCAAAACCCCAAAUUUCUACAAAUUUCCAUGCUUGAAUUAUAAAUCUUGUAUUUAACUCACAACACGCGGAAAUCACUUACCUUGACAUAGAUGAUGAAAAUCCCUCCUUGAAGCUCUCUAAAAUCGCCCCAACCAAGUGAAAAAUGAGAGAAGAAGAGCCAAAUCCAACUCUUAAAAUGAUUCUGCCUAGUGAUGUUUCACACCUGCGAUGCCUUGCCGCAUCUGCGGUCCCGCACCUAUGACAAAAUCCUCGCAGGUGCGCAUUUCCCUUACCUGGCCAUGCUCUGCAUCUACGGACAAAAGUAACGCUUCUGCGAGCCCAUCCGCUCCUGCAACUACUGCUCUCGCACCUGAGGUCACGCAGGUAAGCCAAAACUUCCACACCUGUGGGCACGGACCAGCUCGCCCAAAACCGCUUCUGCAUCCCUCCUGGCCACUUCUGCGGCUUCGCACCUGCGGCCAAAACCUCGCAGGUGCGGUUACACCAGAUACCAGCUGCCUUGUCAUUUUACUUAGUCCAAAAAUUGAUCCGUUAAGCAUUCAAAACUCACCUGAGGCCCACAGGACCCCGUUCAAUCACACCAACCAGUCCAAUAACAUAACACGGACCUGCGCGAGGCCUUAAAUCACAUCAAACAACAUUGAAAUCAUGAAUCGCACCCGAAUUCAAGCUUAAUAAACUUUAGAACUUCAAACUUCUAUAUUCGAUGCUGAAACCUAUCAAAUCACGUCCGAUUGAAAUCAAAUUUUGCACACAAGUUACAUUCGACAUUACGGACCUACUCCAACUUCCAGAAUCGGAAUCUGACCUCGGAAUCCCAAACGGAUGUCGAUAUCAUUGAAUUGCACUUCAACUCAAAUUUAUGAAAUUCUUCCAAAAUAACAACUUCCAUAAUAGGCGCCAAAACGCUCCCUGGUCAUCCAAGACCCGCUCCAGACAUAUGCCCAAGUCCAAAAUCAUCAUACAAACCUAUUGGAACCUUCAAAUCCCGAUUCCGAGGUCAUUUACGUAAAAAUCAACCCUGAGCCAACUCCUCUUAAAGCUUCUAAAAUUAGAAUAUUCUCUCCAAAUCAACUCCGAACUUCCCGAAUUUCAAUUUCGACCACACGUAUAAGUCAUAAAACUCGAAGUGAAGCUACUCAAGGCCUCAAAUCACCAAAUGACGUGCUAGAGCUCAAAACGACCGGUCGGGUCAUUACACUAUGGAUUUGAGGAGUUUGAUUUGAGUAUUUGAGUGGCGACUUGUUGUUAGAUUUUGGUAAAAAUUGGUAUGGGUGAACUCGUGGUCGAAUGGGUGUUCGUAUUUUGUGACAUUUACCCGAUUUUGAGAUGUGGGCCCGGGUCGACUUCUUGGGGCGAUUUUUUGAUUCUUUGCCUAAGUAGUAGUUUCAUUAUUUAAAUUAGUUUUUUGUAGUUGUAUUCAUGAUAUGUAAUUGAUUUUGGCUAGAUUUGGGCCAUUCGGAGUCGAAAAAUCGAGGAAAGGGCAUCCUUAUCGAUUGAUUGGGCGAGAUUUGAGGUAAGUGACUUGUCUAAACUUGUGAGGGAAAAUCCCCUAAAGAUUUGGUACUAUUAUAACAAUAUGUGAUAUGUGAGCGCCGUGUACACGAGGUGAUGAGUGCAUACACGGGCUAACUGUGGAAAUUUUCGGUUCUUGCUAAGUUGUCUUCUUUUAAAUUCCUUAACUGGGUUGCCUUAGCAUAUGUAGUAAUCAUGUUUAGCCUAGUAUCGCAUGUUUACGUGCCUUAACUCUUACUUGCAAUUUGUGCAACAUGCUUAGUUGAAUUACAUGUUUACCUUGAUUUGAAUUAAAUCUUUAACUGUAGGAUUUCUUGCUGUAAAUUCGUGUUUCCUUCGAUUAUCUACUGCAUAUUUACUUUGGGAUUACGAGGCGGUUCCUCGGGAGAUCCUCUUGUACUGCAUAUUUACUUUGGGACUACGAGGCGUUUACUCAGGAGAUCCCCCCUGUCUUGCAUAUUUACUUUGGGACUACGAGGCGGUACCUCGGGAGAUCCCCUCUGUCAUGCAUACUUACAUUUGGGACUACGAGGCGAUACCUCGGGAGUGCCACUGUUGUUACCUCUAAUUGCUGAGCUAUUAUUUUCUAAAACUUCUCGUUGUUUUAAAUUCGCAGUCAUUACAAAAUAUUAUUAUAUCUUCUGCCUUACUUUUCUUUUAAACCAGUAGGGCCCUGACCUGACCUCAUCACUACUCUACCGAGGUUAGGCUUGGCACUUACUAGGUACUGUUGUGGCAAACUCAUACUACACUCUGCACAUCUUUCUAUGCAGAUCCAGGUUCUUCCUACAAGGCCAGAUACUAGUGAGCUGGACUAUACGUGGAGACUUCAAGGUAUAUCUACCAACGUCCGCAGACCUCGGAGUCCCUCUCUAUCUUUAUUAUGGUGUUUCCAUUAUUCUCUUUAGACUUGAUGUAUACAGACACUUAGUAUUUGCUCUUAAAAGCUUGUGACUUAUUUCCAGCAAUUUUUGGGAAUUGUUAUUAUUGAUAUGC